ACUCUCUUAGUAUAACACUCAGUACAGUUGACUUCCAAUCAACCAGCUUCAGAAUAAUCCUGAGAGAGAGUA
This 72-nucleotide transfer RNA is filed under the name Callosciurus finlaysonii frandseni. Its description in RNAcentral is "tRNA-Gly". The record is from RNAcentral. Lineage: Eukaryota; Metazoa; Chordata; Mammalia; Rodentia; Sciuridae.